This is a long non-coding RNA of Aethalodelphis obliquidens (Pacific white-sided dolphin), 1294 nucleotides long. RefSeq lists it as uncharacterized. The transcript is spliced from 3 exons. The record is from RefSeq and is a predicted model, not a curated record. Lineage: Eukaryota; Metazoa; Chordata; Mammalia; Artiodactyla; Delphinidae.
AUAUGGGAUCUUCCCGGACCGGGGCACGAACCCGUGUCCCCUGCAUCGGCAGGCGGACUCUCAACCACUGCGCCACCAGGGAAGCCCUGAUCCUUUUAAGGCUUGUUUUUAAGCUCGUUCACACUGCAUUUGGGUAGCCUUUUCUCUGGGGCUAAUCCAGCCCCACUUUCAAGGCGUGGCUGUUCAGAGGUCCGUGAAAGGCUCUGUAUGUUAGAGCGGCCUCUCCGCUCUGGCUGUGAGGAAUCAGAUGACUCGGCAGCUCUAGGUGAGCCUGGUGAUCGCUCACCAUGCGGCUCCUCAGCGGCUGUUCUUUCCCUGGAAGUUCUGGGGUGGCUUCCCAGGCUCCCCACACGGAUGCGCAAAGCAGCACUCGACCAAGAUCCUCAGGGGCUCACGUGCAGCUCCUCCUCUCUGGUACCAGGCCUUGCAAAUUCUGGCUGUCUCAGUUUCUCCAAAGGCCGGGCUCUCAGAGUCUGAACACUGCUUCCAGAUAGAAAGCCUAGGCACCUGGAGGGCUCACCUGUCCUUCCUGUUUAACAAUCCUGAACACUGCUGGUGGGUUGAGUCCAUGUUGAAUGUGUCCUGCCAGCCUGACCUUAAGGAAGUCCUGGCUUACCCUUGGAUAUAACGGAAACCAGUGACGGGAAAUACGGCAGGACCAGGGAGAAGCUGUUGCCCAGCUGCUGGCUGGGUCGCAGCACAGGCCCCAUGACCAAAGCAUCCCCGCUCAUGUCCAGCCGCUGGCCCCAUGCUCGGGUCUCCAGGCCCAGCUGAACAUCUGCACACGGGUGACUGCUGACUCAGUAACUGCCGGCGCCCUCCCAGUGGGAGGAGACUGUGGGGCAGCUGCCAGCGCCUCCAAGAUCGGGAAACAUUCAGGGAGCCGGCCUCCCUCCUUCCACAGCCUGCAAAGCCAGCCCCUGCGAGCCCUGCAGAUCUCAAGGAAACCCUGCAGCCAAAGGUGCAGGCUCUGGGGUCUUCACCCGGCUCCCGUGAUAUCUGAUGGGAGCUGACCACUCAUUCCAGGGUGGGUCCUAAGGACCCUGCUGACCACUCCCUGGUCCUUUAAUAAAGAAUUCUGAGCACACACGGCCCAGUGGAGCCAGGCAGGCUCAGGCUCAGGUGUGCUGUGCCCAUCUACCCUCCCUCCAGCCCCUUCUGAGACCCCUGUGCCCCUCCUCACCCCCCCCGCCCACCCCAGGACCGUGGAGGGAGGAAAGAGACAGGAGGCCACACACAUAGCCUGCCGUUUAUAGAUCUCUGCCCGUCUCGUCCAUCCAUCCAUCCAUCUAUA